AGUUGGAAGUGGGGAUCUCGGCAUUUUUGUCUUUGGUUCUCAAAAAGGUUACCGGCGCUUUGCAAUUUGCCGUUCCUAGUGGAUCCAGGCGAAUUCCAAACGUCGCGCCAACCCUUACAAUCGUUAUUUGCCAGAUCUAUCUCUUCCAGCUCA
Molecule: microRNA precursor, 153 nt
Filed under: Daphnia pulex (common water flea)
Lineage: Eukaryota; Metazoa; Arthropoda; Branchiopoda; Diplostraca; Daphniidae
Description: Dpu-Mir-750_pre stem-loop
Source: RNAcentral